This 7790-nucleotide long non-coding RNA is filed under the name Lotus japonicus. Its description in RNAcentral is "long non-coding RNA (LJAP_LNC002178)". Lineage: Eukaryota; Viridiplantae; Streptophyta; Magnoliopsida; Fabales; Fabaceae. The record is from RNAcentral.
AUAUGCGAUUUAAAAUUUUCCUCAAAUAAAAGCGCUAACGUGUUUCGGAAAUCACAUGGGUCAUGAUCACCUCAAGCAACGUCACCAUAUUGGGAUGCAUCGGUGAUUUGUGAUUUAUCAUUUCGCAGAAAUCACAAUUAUAAUGUCCUUCUAAUCAUAAUUAUGUGUUUCCAAAAGCAUGGUAUUGGCAUUUAAGGUGACUACCACUGGAUCAUCUGUAAAUGACUCAGCCUGAUACUAUAAAUGUAACAAAGACAUAUUAUCAGAGGCAGAUCCAUCUACUUGAUGAACCAUUGACCUUUCUGACUGAUAUAACUGAGACUGCUCAAUAUUCACCACUGACCUAUCACCUAUAAGCUAAGAAUAUGAGACUACAACAAGUAGCCCUAACAUGGAAAGAAAAUGAAACAUGGAUACAUGAAUUGAAAUUGAAAAUAGAAGAAAAAUAUGACCUGAGAUCCCGUAGAAAAUUGUGAUUGGAGAACUCCUUCAAUGUCAAUCUUUCCUCUGCACGUUGAAGUCCAAGUUCGGAAAAGUUUUCUAAAUGAGCUCUAACUGUAAUACAAAAUAUAUGUAUCAUAAAAUUUCAACCUUAGACCCAUCACUUGUACACAUUCACAAAGCAUUGCAGAAGAAUAAUUAAGUACAAAUGCACAUGAAAUAUAGUUGAAAUAAAUACCUGGAUUUCGAUGUAAAAGGCUUGUGCUAAGAUUCAAGCAAUCAGAUUGUAGCUCUUUCAAAGCCUUUGGUGGACGGUGCAGUUCAGUACAUGACAAAAUAAUUUGAAAAAGCUGAAAAAACAAAUGAUAUUGAUGGAUAAGAAAGAUAUUUACGUUAAAAAAAUAAAUAUUACUUACGAAAACAUAAAAAACAAUACAUACGUAACUAUAAUCUUUUAAAAGUUGAUUAAAAAAAUAGUUAAUGUACUUUUGCCUCUUCACUACCUGCAAAAUUGAUAUUUCUAUUGAAUGGCUGCCUCCCAAUCACUAACUGAUACAAUAUUGCCCCAACACUCCAUAAAUCAGCCUGCACCUAUAACAAUGCCUCAAUUUUAUUUAUUUUGUACAAAAGAAAACAGGAACAGUAUGUAUCAGUAGUUGCAAUUUGAUCCCAGUUCUAUCUUCUCACCAUGGCCUCAUACUUUUGACUUUCAAUUACCAUUGCAGCCAUGUGAUAAGGUGAAUCAUAUAGUGUAUCUGCCAACUGCUGGGGUGCGAACCUAGUACAACAAUAAAUCAAGGCACUGCCAAUGCACAUGAGAAGACUAUUUGAGUAUGUUUCAUAUAAAACUAAAAGGUAUAUAUUAUAAAGUAUAAACAGCUACUAAACUUACAAUUAGUUUCAAUAUAAACUAAGAAGGAAUAAGAUAGCUUAGUAUCUACUAUCUAGUAAAUCAAAUUAUUAAUGACCCGUGCUAUUACUUGUUGUAUUACAAAAAAAUCAAGAAAUAACAUCACCGAAAAAACGAACAAACAAAGAAGCAAGAAGAAACAGGUCUGUUAGAAUAUAAUAUAAAACCAUUAAAGUGGCCCUUACCCAACAGCUUAAGCUUUUGGGAUAAGUUGUUAUUUGACAAGGUCACUCCAGCUUAUAGCAGCAAUUAAUGAGGAAUAAACAUGUGCUUGUAUUGUUUAAUUUACUAAGAAACCAUCCUACCUUGCAAAACAAAAAGUCAAAACAUGAACAAAUUACUGUGCUUUCAAUAAUAACACAGACAAUUAUUACAGGUUUGAACGGGAGUUGAUUAUAUGAUAUAACAUUAAAUCAAUACUCACAUGUCAGUGUUUGGGAGAGCUUAUGCAAACAGCUUGGGAAGAGCUUAUUUGAGCUUAUCUGAUAGCAUAAGCUCUUAUGUCAGUGUUUGGGAGAGCUUAUACAAACAGCUUAUGGUCUACCAUAAGCUGUUUUGAGCUUUUUUUCAUAAGCUAUUCAGGAUAGCUUAUGAAAAAGAUCUUAUGCUUAUAUAUAACUUAUUUUCGAUUUAUUUCAAUAAAAUUUUUAAAAUAACUUAUGAAUAAGCGCUUAUGUCAAAAGCGCUUAUGACCAUAAGCGCUUAAUUAAGCUGUGUUUCCAAACGGGGCCUUAGUAGGUCCUUAAAGAGCUUUUGGGUCUUAUAAAAAGCGCUAUAUCAUGAAAACAUUUAUAGUUAUUCUGAUACACAUUAUAAAACGCUUUUAUAUGGAAAGCGAUUUAAUAGUGACCCAUACAACAUUUGAAAUAACAAAAAUGUUGUAAAACCGUACUGCACAUUUACCGUACAAAAUAGUCAAAACUAAUAAAUCAACCUGAAUAUGCCCAGCUUCAAUAUUGAGAAAAUUGUUACUAAAAUAUAAUUAAACUAGGUAUUAAAGGAAAUUCAGAACCCCAAUUAAAGAAAACUGCUAGUACAUCCUUAAUCAAAGAAAACUCAAAAACAUGUUUGAAACUCUAGCAAGUUUUUGUACCCAAUAACCACUAAAUCAGAGAGUAACAGGUAGUCAAAAUUUCACAACAAAAUGAACACAAGCAAAUCUUUAACUCAUAACUUUAUUCAAGUAAAGCAGGAACGCAAGACCAUAAAAUUUGCUUAUCUAACUAAAACCAUUGAAUCAGAUAAGCAAAAUAGAAUCUAAAACAUGGGUUUGGGGUUUAGAUAUUCAUACCUUGUUAAUGAGAGUGUUUUCUUCAACGACCCUUUAGAGCCCUGGUCAGUGCUGUGAGUGCAGUUCAUCAAAGCCAGAGUUUUGAGCCAACCAUUGGCCUUUUGUGCCCCUGUAUGUGAUUAUCGAAAACAAUUUACCUAGUUAAUUACCAAAUAUUAAAUUAAUCAGUGGUUAAACCACAACUUAACUGUUACAGGAACAUUUUAACUAACAUAAUUAGGCCUACAUUAAUUUAACCACAGGCGCAGUUCAGAAAUAGAUAUAGAAACAAGGAUAAAUAAGCACACACAAAAACAGAAAACAUACCAUUUCAAUGCUAGCAACACCCAUGCUCGACAUACUUAGAAGUGCCACGAUCUCACCUUGCUUCAACCUCUUCCGCACAAUCUGCCCCAAUAUCAUUUAAAACAGUGAUAUCUAUUCAUAACGGAUAAAAACAGAGCAACAAAUUUAAGAUCUUAGAUAAUCUGAAAUUUGAACGAAAAGGCAAUAAUGAUUUAAAUUAUACCUACAACUUAAUCACAUAGUGUAUCUGCCACCGCUGAUCGCCACCUCUUCCAAGGAAGAACAUCAUCCCACCAAGAAUUUAUUCAACACCGUCUAAUGGCAACUAUUCGACCCAAUGGUUCCAAUAUCCUAAUGUCGUCAAUCCCUAUCAAUUUAUUCUUUCCGUCAAUUAGUUAGGAAUCGGAAAUUUCCUUAUGCUUAAAUAUCACCACUUUAAAGGCACCUCUUCCAAUUUGCAUGUUAUCAUGAAAAUCAUAAUGCCCAAAUAAAAGAAACGAGAGAAAAAUUACCAAAUAAAUCAACAAGAUUUAAUGUUAUCUAUGCACAGCGAGCUUGCUUGUCUAAUUCCAAGCUUCAAGGAUAUAGAAAACCAUCUGCAAAUUAACAUUUAUAAGAAAUUAAGCAACUUGGCUUGAAAAGACAGGUGGGCCUUCAUCCAACCCUAUUUUUUAAAGCUAAUAAAAGGCACGACACUCACCCUCUUACCUGUUCCAGAUUUGUAGCGCACACCCCCAUCAUUCUUACACACUAAGUAGCUUUACCUGCAUAAAAAGAAGCUCUUUCCACCGUUGUCUGUGGGAAGCACAUUCAAAAUGUCGACUGCUUGGUUAUCACAAUACCGAGAAGGCCUAUGAUUAAAGAAUUUCGGCAACCUAUAGAGAUUGUUGUUGAUUAUGCCAUCCAUAGAAACAAGCACAGCAAUUUAAAAAUAGAAGAGAAACCCAUAUUAAAAAAAACCUAUCAGCAGCUGGGGUGUGAUUUAAAGAUGCCAAUUUGGUUCAUAUUUAGCUAGUUUGUCUGAUACGUAAAUAAAUUGAAAAAUAAAACAACUAGUUGAUCAAAAAAAGUAAGUUAUUGGAUCACCUUCAUUUCAGGCAUCAGGACUCGCUCAACAGUAGUUCCAAAUGUAGCCUUAAAUAUUAAUUCUGCUAAAGUCUCUUCAGCAAUGGACAAAAGCCUAGGAAAAACAUCACGUGAUUUCGUAAGGUCAGACAUACACAUCCAAGAUUUCAAAGAAAACAAUAAAGGAAAUAGACCAAGACAAAGAACAGCAAGGAAAGGUACCUUGGUAGAAAACUAUUCUGCCACCAAAUUUGAGUCAACCCUCAACUUAUCAUUAUUGGAAAGGCAACAAGGGUCUAUAAUCAGAAUUAGCAUUCACACGACUUUAGGGUCCAUGAUUCACCAUCUCGUUUUAGGGACUUACUUUGAUGAUUUCCAUCAAAACAGCCAACCCUCAAAUUAUCAUUAUCCGAAAGGCAACAAGGGUCCAUAAUCACAAUUAGAAUUCCCGCGACUUUAGGGUCAUUGUUGACAUGAUUUACCAUCUCGUUGUAGGGACUGAUGAUUUCCAUCAAACCAGUCAACCCUCAAAUUAUCAUUUCCGAAAGGCAACAAGGGUCCAUAAUCAAAAUUAGCAUUCUCACGACUUUAGAGUCAUUGUUCACACGAUAUACCAUCUCGUUUUAGGGAAUCACUUUCAUGAUUUCCAUCAAAAGGGUCAACCCUCAAAUUAUCAUUAUCCGAAAGGCAACAAGGGUCCAUAAUCACAGUUAGAAUUCCCACGACUUUAGGGUCAUUGUUGACAAGAUUUACCAUCUCGUUGUAGGGACUCACUUUGAUGAUUUCCAUCAAAACACUCAACCCUCAAAUUAUCAUUUCCGAAAGGCAACAAGGGUCCAUAAUCAGAAUUAGCAUUCUCACGACUUUAGAGUCAUUGUUCACACGAUAUACCAUCUUGUUUUAGGGAAUCACUUUAAUGAUUUCCAUCAAAAGGGUCAACCCUCAAAUUAUCAUUAUCCGAAAGGCAACAAGGAUCCAAAAUAAGAAUUAGCAUUCUCACGACUUCAGGGUCAUAGUUCACAUGAUUUACCAUCUCGUUUAAGGGACACACUUUAAUUAUUUCCAUCAAAAGGGUCGACCCUCAAAUAAUCAUUAUCCGAAUGGCAACAAGGGUCUAUAAUCGAAAUUGAUAUUCUCGCGACUUUAGGGUCAUUGUUUACAUGUUUAAUCGUCUCGUUUUAGGGACUCGUUUUAGGGGCAAGCAUUGGUGAUUUCCGUCAAUAGGGUCAGCCCACAAAUUAUCAUUAUUCGAAAGGCAACAAGGGUCCAUAAUCAGAAUUAGCAUUCUCACGACUCUAGGUACAUUGUUCACAAGAUUAACCAUCUCGUUUUAGUGAUUCCUAUAGAAGAUUUCCAUCAAAAAUGUCUACCCACAAAUUAUUAGGCAACAAGGGUCCAUAAUCAGAAUAGCAUUCUUGCUACGUCACGGUCAUUGUUCACAUGAUUAACCAUGUCAUUUUAUGGACUUAUUUUACAAACUCGCAUUGAUGAUUACCAUCAAAAGGGUCAGCCCUCAAAUUAUCAUUACCCAAAAGGCAACCCGGGUCCUUAAUCAGAAUUAGCAUUCUCAAGACUUAAGGGUCGUAAUUUACAUGAUUAACCAUCUCGUUUUAGGGACUUAUUUUACGAACUCGCAUUGAUGAUUACCAUCAAAAGGGUCAGCCCUCAAAUUAUCAUUACCCAAAAGGCAACAAGGGUCCAUAAUCAGAAUUAGCAUUCUCAAGACUUAAGGGUCAUAAUUUACAUGAUUAACAUUCUCUCAUCAUUCUCAUUUUAGGGUGAUUUGUGAUUUAUAAUUUCCCACCAAUAACAAGUGUGUUUCCAAAUCACAUGGGUCACGAUAAUCUCAAGCAACCUCCCUAUAUUGGGAUGCCUCGGUAAUCUGUGAUUUAUAAUUUCCCUCCAAUGACAAUUAUGUAGUUCCGAAAUCACAUGGGUCAUGAUCACCUAAAGCAACCUCACUAUAUUGGGAUGCCUCGGUGAUAUGUGAUUUAUAAUUUUCCUCAAAUAAAAGCGCUUACGUGUUUCGGAAAUCACAUGGGUCAUGAUCACCUCAAGCAACGUCAGCAUAUUGGGAUGCAUCAGUGAUCUGUGAUUUAUCAUUUCCCAGAAAUCACAAUUAUAAUUUCCUUCUAAUCAUAAUUAUGUGUUUCCAAAAUCAAAUGGGUCAUGAUCACCCCUAGUAUUAGAAAUUGGGAGGCCUAUACUCAACCACAAAAGCUAGCUCAAAAGUUGAGGUUUGCACUAUCUAUGCUCUAUCUCUAGCCAAUGUGGGACUUCUAACACACCCCCUCACGUCCAGGACUGAACAACCUGGAACGUGGGAUCAACAACAACGGGUGCCCAGAAUAUGGGAAGUCUCCACAACAAACAACAAAUGGAUCUAGGAUAGGCUCUGAUACCAUAUUAGAAAUUGGGAGGCCUAUACUCAACCACAAAAGCUAGCUCAAGAGUUGAGGUUUGCACUACCCUUAUAAAGGCUAUCUAUGCUCUAUCUCUAGCCAAUGUGGGACUUCUAACACCUAGCAACCUCGCUACAUCUGGAUGCCUCAGUGAUCUGUGAUUUAAUAUUUCCCUCUUAUAAUCACAAUUAGGCAUUUCUGAAAUCACAUGGGCCAUGAUCACCUCAAGCAACCUCACCAUAAUGGGAUACCUCGGUGAUUUGUGAUUUAUAAUUUUCUUUCAAACACAAUUAUGUGUUCUUGGCGACACUUUCAUUAGCUAUAUAUUUCUUUAAAUUGGGGGUAAAAUUGAAGUGGUCAAGUAUUUAUGAUGUGCCUAAUGCGUAAAGAUGAAGCCAAGAGGCAAUCAUGCGUAACAAGCCGUGGGUUUUAAUUUUGUUUUAACUGCAAUGCAAACAAAUGAAAGAAGCACGCGACACAUAGGUCUCUUGAUUCUAUUUCAAUUUUCAACAACAAAAAACCAACUAAAAUCCAACCAGCUACAUAUAUUUUUAAUUUUAAUUUUCGUAUUUUAUAAAAAUAAAAAUACCAUGUAAUAAUUCAUAAUUCAUAAUAAGUUACAUAAUUUACUUUAUGGGAAUAAUUCUUCUUCUUCAAUACUCAAGUUUCUACUCAGUUACAAGAUGUGAUAAAAUAAGGAAGGGACUAACCUCAUUUAAAAUUUCAUCUAUCUCCAAGGAUUAAAGUUUAGAGCUCCACUAUACACAAACAUCUAAAUGAACUGCUGAAAGAAAUGGAACCAACCUUCUGGAAUAACAAAAUCUGCUCAACAACAGAUAAGUCAGUAUCAGUGGCUGGUAAUAAAACUUUUACAUGCAUACCAUGGCUUUAAUAAUAGUUAGAUUAAUACUAAAUGAUGAUAAACCAUAGAAAAUCAAGAAUUUAAUUUCCCAUGAAUUGAAAAUGUAGUUUUACACAUAACUACAAGUAUCUCAUCAAAUUAGAGUUCAGGAUGAUCUAAUAUGAAAAAUAGUGAAAUGUUAUCCAAUUACGCAUUGAGUGAAUAGCAUUGCUUUAUAGUCCUGCAUGUAAGCCAUUCCUCUCCAUAAUUACUUCUUAGAAAAUCUUGUUAAUCGGAUUCAAGCUUGUCCGUCUAUUGCUUAAUUGGAUAACAUCCUUUCUUUCCAAAAGCAUGGUAUUGGCAUUUAAGCUGACUACCACUGGAUCAUCUGUAAAUGACUCAGCCUGAUACUAUAAAUGUAACAAAGACAUCUUAUCUGAGGAUGAGCCAUCUACUUGAUGAAACAUUGUCGUCUUCAUAAAGCCUUAUAUAACUUGAAACAGGUCCCUCGUAUCAGAGACUACGAUCUACCCUUUAUAGUUUGGCUUUAUCUCA